CUAUCUUUACGCUAAUUUAAUAUUUUCUUUUGUGCCUACUAUACGUGUAGGGUAGGAUUUUCGCUCACAAGCACUAUAAACGAUGUUGCAAUAUACAAUACAACAAGAUUUUGAGGAUGAUGUCCUGCUCAUCCUGAUGAUCAGCAGUUUGAUUGCUUGUGUGCUGCUUGGGUCGACUGUGACAAGUACACCAGAUGAUCCGGCGAUCUCCGAAAACUCCGCAGAGAGAAAUGUUGUGGCAACCUAAAAAUCCAUGCUCCAUAAAAUGAUGGAGGAAAAAGAAACAGGCAACGAGAGAUUCCGUCCAGUACCGGUUGAAGAGAAUGGCACCGAAGGCUUGAGAGAGAAAAUCAGCAAUUUUUUACGCCAGAGUAUGUUGUCUAAGAAAGCUGAUAUUGUAUAGCGCAUUGGGAGACCGAGAAGUUGCAUUGGCCCGAACUUUAUGAACUGUCUAAAUUUUUCUUGGGAAUCCCUGUGACGCGAUCAAGUGUCGAGAGAUUGUUCUCUCAUCUGAAAUGCAUGAAGAACAAUCUGAGACAGAAACUUAAAGAGGAACUCAUGCAAGCAAUUAUGGUAGUGAGAAUGUAUCGUCAUGAUGGCAAAAUUUGCCCCACGAGAAAGCGAAAUAGAGUGGUCGGUGUAGGUGUACAUGACAGUUAUAAUUUUAUUAGUUCAUAAAGCAUUUCAUUUUUAAUCCGUGAUUAGAAAAUAUAGUUGUGUGCCUUACAGCAACGACUGAUAUGUUUCAGUUUUCUUACGAGGACUUUCUUUGUCAUGGACAGUUUUACAGAAAACACCGUAAUCUAUACCAGGAAAUGUGUACUUUUAACUGAAGAAGAAUUCACCCAAAUAUAAGCUCGUCACGAUUUGUUAGGUAUUGUUAUUUUUUGUUUUUUUCUCUUUUUAACAUUUCCUUGAAGAGCUUUCUCAAUAGGGCAUGCGAUUGAUGUAGUCAAAUGAAGUAUUCCCUAAAUUGAAAUGGUGAUAGUAUAUUUUGACUGCAGCAAUUACUGUGUACAAGUGUUGUGAUUUUGUAAUAUGUAAGUAAACCUUUCAUGAAAAGCU
Molecule: long non-coding RNA, 1065 nt
Filed under: Bemisia tabaci
Lineage: Eukaryota; Metazoa; Arthropoda; Insecta; Hemiptera; Aleyrodidae
Description: lncRNA ENSASIAIIG004868
Source: RNAcentral